CUACAAGGGUUUCUAAUCCUGUUUGCUCCCCACGCUUUAGUGCCUCAGCGUCAGUGAAGAUUUAGCAUCCUGCCUUCGCUAUUGGUGUUCUGUAUGAUAUCUAUGCAUUUCACCGCUACACCAUACAUUCCAAACACUCCAAUCUUACUCAAGACUAUCAGUAUCAAUAGCAAUUUUACAGUUAAGCUGUAAGCUUUCACUACUGACUUAAUAAACAGCCUACACACCCUUUAAACCCAAUAAAUCCGGAUAACGCUUGUGUCUUUCGUAUUACCGCGGCUGCUGGCAC
RNAcentral lists this ribosomal RNA (289 nucleotides) under uncultured Bacteroidota bacterium. RNAcentral describes it as "uncultured Bacteroidetes bacterium partial 16S ribosomal RNA". Lineage: Bacteria; Pseudomonadati; Bacteroidota. The record is from RNAcentral.